RNAcentral lists this ribosomal RNA (1551 nucleotides) under Salmonella enterica subsp. enterica serovar Typhimurium var. 5-. Its description in RNAcentral is "bacterial SSU rRNA". It matches the Rfam family "Bacterial small subunit ribosomal RNA". Lineage: Bacteria; Pseudomonadati; Pseudomonadota; Gammaproteobacteria; Enterobacterales; Enterobacteriaceae. The record is from RNAcentral.
AAAUUGAAGAGUUUGAUCAUGGCUCAGAUUGAACGCUGGCGGCAGGCCUAACACAUGCAAGUCGAACGGUAACAGGAAGCAGCUUGCUGCUUCGCUGACGAGUGGCGGACGGGUGAGUAAUGUCUGGGAAACUGCCUGAUGGAGGGGGAUAACUAUUGGAAACGGUGGCUAAUACCGCAUAACGUCGCAAGACCAAAGAGGGGGACCUUCGGGCCUCUUGCCAUCAGAUGUGCCCAGAUGGGAUUAGCUAGUUGGUGAGGUAACGGCUCACCAAGGCGACGAUCCCUAGCUGGUCUGAGAGGAUGACCAGCCACACUGGAACUGAGACACGGUCCAGACUCCUACGGGAGGCAGCAGUGGGGAAUAUUGCACAAUGGGCGCAAGCCUGAUGCAGCCAUGCCGCGUGUAUGAAGAAGGCCUUCGGGUUGUAAAGUACUUUCAGCGGGGAGGAAGGUGUUGUGGUUAAUAACCGCAGCAAUUGACGUUACCCGCAGAAGAAGCACCGGCUAACUCCGUGCCAGCAGCCGCGGUAAUACGGAGGGUGCAAGCGUUAAUCGGAAUUACUGGGCGUAAAGCGCACGCAGGCGGUCUGUCAAGUCGGAUGUGAAAUCCCCGGGCUCAACCUGGGAACUGCAUUCGAAACUGGCAGGCUUGAGUCUUGUAGAGGGGGUAGAAUUCCAGGUGUAGCGGUGAAAUGCGUAGAGAUCUGGAGGAAUACCGGUGGCGAAGGCGGCCCCCUGGACAAAGACUGACGCUCAGGUGCGAAAGCGUGGGGAGCAAACAGGAUUAGAUACCCUGGUAGUCCACGCCGUAAACGAUGUCUACUUGGAGGUUGUGCCCUUGAGGCGUGGCUUCCGGAGCUAACGCGUUAAGUAGACCGCCUGGGGAGUACGGCCGCAAGGUUAAAACUCAAAUGAAUUGACGGGGGCCCGCACAAGCGGUGGAGCAUGUGGUUUAAUUCGAUGCAACGCGAAGAACCUUACCUGGUCUUGACAUCCACAGAACUUUCCAGAGAUGGAUUGGUGCCUUCGGGAACUGUGAGACAGGUGCUGCAUGGCUGUCGUCAGCUCGUGUUGUGAAAUGUUGGGUUAAGUCCCGCAACGAGCGCAACCCUUAUCCUUUGUUGCCAGCGAUUAGGUCGGGAACUCAAAGGAGACUGCCAGUGAUAAACUGGAGGAAGGUGGGGAUGACGUCAAGUCAUCAUGGCCCUUACGACCAGGGCUACACACGUGCUACAAUGGCGCAUACAAAGAGAAGCGACCUCGCGAGAGCAAGCGGACCUCAUAAAGUGCGUCGUAGUCCGGAUUGGAGUCUGCAACUCGACUCCAUGAAGUCGGAAUCGCUAGUAAUCGUGGAUCAGAAUGCCACGGUGAAUACGUUCCCGGGCCUUGUACACACCGCCCGUCACACCAUGGGAGUGGGUUGCAAAAGAAGUAGGUAGCUUAACCUUCGGGAGGGCGCUUACCACUUUGUGAUUCAUGACUGGGGUGAAGUCGUAACAAGGUAACCGUAGGGGAACCUGCGGUUGGAUCACCUCCUUACCUUAAAGAA